Molecule: ribosomal RNA, 481 nt
Filed under: uncultured bacterium
Lineage: Bacteria
Description: partial 16S ribosomal RNA
Rfam family: Bacterial small subunit ribosomal RNA
Source: RNAcentral
AGCGAACGCUGGCGGCAGGCCUAACACAUGCAAGUCGAACGAACCUUUCGGGGUUAGCGGCGGACGGGUGAGUAACACGUGGAUAACCUACCUAUAAGACUGGGAUAACUUCGGGAAACCGGAGCUAAUACCGGAUAACAUGUUGAACCGCAUGGUUCAACAGUGAAAGACGGUCUUGCUGUCACUUAUAGAUGGAUCCGCGCCGCAUUAGCUAGUUGGUAAGGUAGCGGCUUACCAAGGCAACGAUGCGUAGCCGACCUGAGAGGGUGAUCGGCCACACUGGAACUGAGACACGGUCCAGACUCCUACGGGAGGCAGCAGUAGGGAAUCUUCCGCAAUGGGCGAAAGCCUGACGGAGCAACGCCGCGUGAGUGAAGAAGGUCUUCGGAUCGUAAAACUCUGUUAUUAGGGAAGAACAAAUGUGUAAGUAACUAUGCACGUCUUGACGGUACCUAAUCAGAAAGCCACGGCUAACUACGUG